Molecule: ribosomal RNA, 237 nt
Filed under: uncultured bacterium
Lineage: Bacteria
Description: partial 16S ribosomal RNA
Rfam family: Bacterial small subunit ribosomal RNA
Source: RNAcentral
GUUGUCCGGAUUUAUUGGGCUUAAAGGGUGCGUAGGCGGCAUUUUAAGUCAGUGGUGAAAUACUUCAGCUUAACUGGAGAGGUGCCAUUGAUACUGGGAUGCUUGCGUACUGAUGAGGUAGGCGGAAUGGACGGUGUAGCGGUGAAAUGCUUAGAUAUCGUCCAGAACACCGAUAGCGAAGGCAGCUUACUAAGGAGUAACUGACGCUGAGGCACGAAAGUGUGGGGAUCAAACAGG